RNAcentral lists this transfer RNA (73 nucleotides) under Monodelphis domestica (gray short-tailed opossum). It matches the Rfam family "tRNA". From Rfam's summary of the family: Transfer RNA (tRNA) molecules are approximately 80 nucleotides in length. Their secondary structure includes four short double-helical elements and three loops (D, anti-codon, and T loops). Lineage: Eukaryota; Metazoa; Chordata; Mammalia; Didelphimorphia; Didelphidae. The record is from Rfam by way of RNAcentral.
UCAGCUUCGGCACAGUAGGUAGCGCGUCAGUCUCAUAAGCUCAAGGUCCCAAGUUCCAUCCUUGGAAGGAGAG